Molecule: ribosomal RNA, 700 nt
Filed under: uncultured Bacteroidota bacterium
Lineage: Bacteria; Pseudomonadati; Bacteroidota
Description: bacterial SSU rRNA
Rfam family: Bacterial small subunit ribosomal RNA
Source: RNAcentral
ACGGGUGCGUAACGCGUAUGCAACCUACCUAUCACUGGGGGAUAGCCUUUGGAAACAGGGAUUAAUACCGCAUAAUACUGGGAUUUAGCAUUAGAUUUCAGUUAAAGAUUUAUUGGUGAUAGAUGGGCAUGCGUCUGAUUAGUUAGAUGGUGAGGUAACGGCUCACCAUGACGAUGAUCAGUAGGGGGCGUCAGAGCGUGGUCCCCCACACUGGCACUGAGAUACGGGCCAGACUCCUACGGGAGGCAGCAGUAGGGAAUAUUGGGCAAUGGAUGCAAGUCUGACCCAGCCAUGCCGCGCGCAGGAAGAAGGUCCUCUGGAUUGUAAACUGCUUUUGUCGGGGAAGAAUAGGUCUCUUGCGAGGGAUUGUGACGGUACCCGAUGAAUAAGCCACGGCUAACUACGUGCCAGCAGCCGCGGUAAUACGUAGGUGGCAAGCGUUGUCCGGAUUUAUUGGGUUUAAAGGGUGCGUAGGUGGUUUGCUAAGUCAGUGGUGAAAGCUGGUUGCUCAACAAUCAAGUUGCCAUUGAUACUGUCAGACUUGAGAGAAGUGGAGGCUCGUGGAAUGGAUGGUGUAGCGGUGAGAUGCAUAGAUAUCAUCCAGAACGUCGAUUGCGAAGGCAGUGGGCUGUACUUUUUCUGACACUGAGGCACGAAAGCGUGGGGAUCAAACAGGAUUAGAUACCCUGGUAGUCCACGC